UGGGGAAUAUUGCACAAUGGGCGCAAGCCUGAUGCAGCCAUGCCGCGUGUAUGAAGAAGGCCUUCGGGUUGUAAAGUACUUUCGGCGGGGAGGAAGGGAGUAAAGUUAAUACCUUUGCUCUUUGACGUUACCCGCAGAAGAAGCACCGGCUAACUCCGUGCCAGCAGCCGCGGUAAUACGGAGGGUGCAAGCGUUAAUCGGAAUUACUGGGCGUAAAGCGCACGCAGGCGGUUUGUUAAGUCAGAUGUGAAAUCCCCGGGCUCAACCUGGGAACUGCAUCUGAUACUGGCAAGCUUGAGUCUCGUAGAGGGGGGUAGAAUUCCAGGUGUAGCGGUGAAAUGCGUAGAGAUCUGGAGGAAUACCGGUGGCGAAGGCGGCCCCCUGGACGAAGACUGACGCUCAGGUGCGAAAGCGUGGGGAGCAAACA
RNAcentral lists this ribosomal RNA (427 nucleotides) under uncultured Enterobacteriaceae bacterium. RNAcentral's name for it is "bacterial SSU rRNA". It matches the Rfam family "Bacterial small subunit ribosomal RNA", at positions 355 to 774 of the family's 1533-position model. Lineage: Bacteria; Pseudomonadati; Pseudomonadota; Gammaproteobacteria; Enterobacterales; Enterobacteriaceae. The record is from RNAcentral.